Molecule: long non-coding RNA, 669 nt
Organism: Oncorhynchus tshawytscha (Chinook salmon)
Lineage: Eukaryota; Metazoa; Chordata; Actinopteri; Salmoniformes; Salmonidae
Source: Ensembl
CUGUAGAAGGUCUGGCUAGGAGCCCUGGGAGUUGUACUGUAGAAGGUCUGGCUAGGAGCCCUGGGAGUUGUACUCUAGAAGUUCUGGCUAGGGGCCCUGGGAGUUGAACUGUAGAAGGUCUGGCUAGGCUAGGAGCCCUGGGAGUAGUACUGUAGACGGUCUGGCUAGGGGCCCUGGGAGUUGUACUGUAAAAGGUCUGGCUAGGAGCCCUGGGAGUUGUACUGUAGAAGGUCUAGCUAGGGGCCCUGGGGGUUGUACUGUAGAAGGUCUGGCUAGGCUAGGAGCCCUGGGAGAUGUACUGUAGAAGGUCUGGCUAGGGGCCCUGGGAGUUGUACUGUAGAAGGUCUGGCUAGGAGCCCUGGGAGUUGUACUGUAGAAGGUCUGGCUAGGAGCCCUGGGAGUAGUACUGUAGAAGGUCUGGCUAGGAGCCCUGGGAGUUGUACUGUAGAAGGUCUGGCUAGGAUCCCUGGGAGUAGUACUGUAGAAGGUCUAGCUAGGAGCCCUGGGAGUAGUACUGUAGCCUAUUAACCAGCUCUGUUAUUUAACGAGCUGCUUCCACUGAAACGUUAGGUACUUCUUUACUGGCUGUGUUGUCACGCUGAUAUAGUGUCUCACAUAAAGACGGAGAUAUUCUGACCACUGAGACCUCCCAGCCUACUCUCCCCUCCC